UACAGAGGUCCCGAGCGUUGUUCGGAUUCACUGGGCGUAAAGGGUGCGUAGGUGGCCAUGAAAGUUUGAUGUGAAAUCUCCGGGCUUAACCCGGAAAAGGCAUUGAAUACUCUGUGGCUGGAGGUUUGGAGGGGGGACUGGAAUUCUCGGUGUAGCAGUGAAAUGCGUAGAUAUCGAGAGGAACACCAGUGGCGAAGGCGGGUCCCUGGACAACACCUGACACUGAGGCACGAAAGCUAGGGGAGCAAACAGG
RNAcentral lists this ribosomal RNA (253 nucleotides) under uncultured bacterium. Its description in RNAcentral is "partial 16S ribosomal RNA". It matches the Rfam family "Bacterial small subunit ribosomal RNA", at positions 524 to 776 of the family's 1533-position model. The record is from RNAcentral.